AUCUUGGGAGGGAGUUUUUCUUUUUUACUUGAAAAACUUCUUUUACAGAUUUUUGAAAGGAAAAAAAAAAAAAAAAUUAGAAAGGCAAAAAGUCAUGUCCAAAGGAGCCCUUAUUGGUUUCCCCUUGUCCUCUUUGUUUUUGUUUCUCACUCUCCCUGCUCAUCUAUCCAUUUAUUCCAUGGGUUUACUGGGCUUUAGGUCUCACUUGAAGCAAAAUAAGCGGUGGUACGCUGGACUUUGUUUUAUAGCGGCCACCCUCGUCGUAGCUCCUAAAUCACACUCACUAUAAUUUCAUGAGUAGGUGAUGAUGAUAAUAUGGUUGUGCAUAAAUGUACUUCACUUGUCCACUUUCUCGCUAGCAAUUCUUCCUCUAUUGGGAGACCUGUUGUAAGAUUUCUUGGUUAUUCACUUUAUUCUACUGCUAAUCAAGUUGGCAAAGUAAAACUAGCUCAGGACCUAGCUGGUUUGGUUCAAGAAUCUUUGAACCUGGAGGAGAAAAAUUCUCAAGUAUCUAAGAAAUUUGUGUCCACGGUUGAGAAGUCAAUAAAUGUUAAGGUCAGUGAGGAUAAGAAAAACGGAGUGUCGUUGGCACAGAACUUAGCCAACUUGGUGGAAGAGUCUUAUAAUCUUGAUGAGACUAAACCUUUGAGUCGGGUGGAACAUAAAAGACUACUUGAACUACGCAUAAAAAAAAGAGUUAAGGAACAUCAUGUAAAUGGAAAGUUUCGGAACCUCAUAAAGGAAGUGGUUGCCAAUCCAAAAACACUCCGUGAUGCUUUUGAUUGUAUUCGAUUGAGUUCUAAUGUUGAUCUAGCGUCGGAAGAUGGUGAGAAUUUGCCUUUUGAAGCCAUGGCUGAAGAGCUUUAUUGUGGGUAUUUUGAUGUAAGUGCUAACACAUAUUCGAUCUCAACAAGGGGCCGAAAGAAAGAAGUCCUCGUCUUUCCAAAUGUUAAACUCAAAGUUGUUGAGGAAGCAAUCAGAAUAGUAUUAGAAGUUGUCUAUCGACCUCACUUUUCUAAGAUAUCACAUGGCUGUCGCAGCGGAAGGAGCCAUUUAUCUGCUCUUAAGUACGUUCGCAAAGAUAUAGUUAAUCCGAAUUGGUGGUUCACUUUGCCAGUUUGCAAAAAGCUCGACAAUCAAAUCCUAGCUAAGCUCUUCUCAACUAUGCAAGACAAGAUAGAUGAUCCUUUCCUAUAUUCUAUAAUAUGUAGUAUGUCUAACACUGGGGUAUUGAAUUUAGAAUUCGGGGGUUUUCCAAAAGGACAUGGUCUCCCACAAGAAGGAACAUUGUCUCCAAUUUUAAUGAACAUAUAUCUUGAUCUAUUUGACCGUGAAAUGUACAGGCUUUCAAUGAGAUACGAAGUUAUUGAUAAAGGUUCAAGCACUGAAGAAAGUGGGCCCCACUCUGUGCUACGCAGUUGGUUUAGGAAACAGAUAUCUGGUAAUGGUUCUCAAGAAUGCCAUGAUGAAAUUAGGGUACAUUGUUGCCGCUUCAUGGAUGAGAUCCUUAUUGCCAUCUCGGGUCCCAAAGAAGUGGCUGUUGCUAUCAAGUCCGAAACUGAAAAUUACUUUAAGAAUUCUCUUCAUUUAGAAUUUGAAAAUGAAACCGAUGUUUUUCCAUGCGAUGGACCUACUGGAAUUCGCUUUUUGGGUAGUGUAGUUAAAAGAAGCCUGAAAGAGAGUCCAGCUGUAAAGGCUGUUCACAAAUUGAAGGAAAAGGUAAAAUUAUUUGCUUCACAGAAGGAGCACUCGUGGGACACCGGGACAGCAAGAAUUGGCAAGAAAUGGUUGGGUCAUGGGCUGAAGAAGGUAAAAGAAUCAGAGAUUAAGCAUCUCUCUGAUGGUAGCUCCCUUUUAAGCCAAAUUUCGUGUUUUAGAAAAGAUGGGAUGGAAACGGAUCAUUGGUACAAAGUCUUACUAAAAGUUUGGAUGCAAAAUAAAAAUGUUAAAUACGAAACUAAUGAGGAUGUUAUCUUAUCUAAGCAUAUUGUCGAACCAGCUCUGCCUCAAGAUCUAAGAGAUUCGUACUAUGAGUUCCAGAAGCGUGUUCAGGAAUAUAUAACUUCUGAGACAGCUUCGACUCUUGCACUGUUGCCAAACUCCAACUCCUCGUCAUUAGUGACGCAGAUCAUAGCUCCAAUCAGCAUCAUAAAGAAGCGACUUUUUCGAUAUGGAUUGACAAAUUCCGAAGGAUAUCCCCGGCCAUGUCAUCUGCUAGUCUUUUGGGAUGACAAUGAAAUAGUUGACUGGUAUGCAGGUUUAAUCUGCCGAUGGCUUAGAUGGUACACUGAGUGUGACAACUUUAAUGAGGUAAAACUCAUUAUUUGCAAUCAAGUAAGGUUGUCUUGCAUCAGAACUCUCGCAAUGAAGUAUAGGAUAUAUGAGACUGAGAUAGAGAAGAAGUUUGAUUUUGAAUUACGUAGAAUUCCUGCAACUGAAGAUAUGGAGCUUGACAUAAUAACCAAUGAAACAACAAAUCCCGAAGGUGUUGAUAAUGAUGCCUUAAUGUAUGGAAUAACAUACAGUGGAAUAUGUUUAUUCUCUUUAGCAAGAAUGGUGAGUCAGUCACGUCCUUGUAAUUGCUUCGUUAUAGGAUGCUCAGCUGCAGCUCCUCGUGUGUACACUCUUCACGUGAUGGAAAGACAAAGAUUCCCUGGUUGGAAGACUGGAUUUUCUAGCUGUAUCCAUCCCAGUUUACGUAGAAGGCGACUUGGGUUGUGUAAACAUCAUCUGAAGGAUGUACUUCUCGGUAACAUUUCGCUUCAAUCUAUUAAUUUCGGUGCUUGGAAAGGAGACAACCUCCCUUGAUGUAAAGUGGCAAAUUUUCUGUCGCGUGACUGCUCAAUAGUUGGAGGAGUAGAUGGAUUGGAGAAGACAGAAAGACGGAGAAACCAUGUAAUCUUUUUGAAGUAAUCCAUCAUUAUUACGGGAGUCUUUAAUGUUAUAUGACUUCAGAAAUGUCCAAAUCACGAUCUUCAAAUUUGGCUAUGGCAAAGCAUGCUAAAACCUCAAAGUUCCAUGAAAGUUGUAUGUUCUGAUACUGAAAAACACAGUUCAAAGAAACUACUGUGAAGUAUGUUUGCAAAUGGACCAUGUUAUGCCGGGAAAAAAAGAGCACAAUUUUCUUCGUUGGAUUGGAAUUUGAAAGAAAAUUAACUACACUAUUAGUUCUCUACAUCAUCGAGUUAUUAGGCCAAAAGGAGGUAUUCACAAGCAACUUCAGUGGUUGCCUGUUUCUCUCCACAAAAGGUUAGAAAAUGUCGGAAAGUUGAUUUAUGGAGAUUCACUUCCAACUCAAAUAGCAGUCAGAGGACAGAAGU
Molecule: RNA transcript, 3320 nt
Organism: Lycium barbarum (goji berry)
Lineage: Eukaryota; Viridiplantae; Streptophyta; Magnoliopsida; Solanales; Solanaceae
Gene name: nuclear intron maturase 4, mitochondrial
Exons: 4
Source: RefSeq, a predicted model, not a curated record